UGGGGCGUGGCCAAGUGGUAAGGCAACGGGUUUUGGUCCCGCUACUCGGAGGUUCGAAUCCUUCCGUCCCAG
RNAcentral lists this transfer RNA (72 nucleotides) under Rosa x damascena. RNAcentral describes it as "tRNA-Gln". It matches the Rfam family "tRNA". From Rfam's summary of the family: Transfer RNA (tRNA) molecules are approximately 80 nucleotides in length. Lineage: Eukaryota; Viridiplantae; Streptophyta; Magnoliopsida; Rosales; Rosaceae. The record is from RNAcentral. RNAcentral also lists the same sequence under 140 other names.